GGGCGGCUGGCCUAAUGGUAAGGCGUUUGUUUUCGGUCCUGUUCACAAAAAAUUGCAGGUUCGAUCCCUGCGUCGCUCA
Non-coding RNA from Penicillium arizonense, 79 nucleotides. NCBI's taxonomy places the organism in Eukaryota, Fungi, Ascomycota, Eurotiomycetes, Eurotiales, Aspergillaceae. The record is from Rfam.